Molecule: long non-coding RNA, 656 nt
Organism: Coffea arabica (coffee)
Lineage: Eukaryota; Viridiplantae; Streptophyta; Magnoliopsida; Gentianales; Rubiaceae
Source: RefSeq, a predicted model, not a curated record
CGUUAAAUUACUUCUACGUCAUUUAAUUAAUUUGGCUACUCUUGGAGUCGCGAAGGCCAGGAUCUUUCGUCUUCGUCUUCAUCUAAACAUUAAGUAAGAUACAUGGAGAAAAAUGCCAGCACUGGUGGCGGGUGCAGCCGCGGGAUGAACUUGUUCUGCUGCAAGAAUAGGCUGACCGAAUCUUGUAGUGAUCAGAAGAAAACAAUUGCAGGUUGCUGCCCUCCUGUGAUAAAAUUUAUUGAGUGGUUGGCGGCACGACUGAUUAAGGUGGUUAAAGCCGCGUUUUUCACUCCGCUGGAAUGGUGUCAUUGCAUGGAUAUUGAGACCAAAGAUGAUAACGAUGGUGGUACUGGUGGGCGGCCGUUGAUCGACAACAACGUUCACCUGAAACCAGGGGAAUAAAUGCAUGGGAUUUGAUCAACUGAAGUUCGCAAGCAAUUGAAGAAGAUGAUCUAAUGUACUUGGUAAGAUGGAUCCCCAACUCCAAGUUCGGCAUAUGCAUGGAAGCUAAUGUAGCAGCUGCUUUUCAUUCUCGAUAGGCCUUCCUACAGUAUUUGUAAUAUUCUGGUAUUCGAUUUGGUAGGAGUUGCCUUCCCACGGCAUGUGAACUCUUAACUGGCUUAUGUUAUGGAAUAUAUUAGCAUUAGUUUGCCCUA